This 570-nucleotide ribosomal RNA is filed under the name Candida tropicalis. RNAcentral's name for it is "eukaryotic LSU rRNA". It matches the Rfam family "Eukaryotic large subunit ribosomal RNA", at positions 62 to 648 of the family's 3401-position model. Lineage: Eukaryota; Fungi; Ascomycota; Pichiomycetes; Serinales; Debaryomycetaceae. The record is from RNAcentral.
AAACCAACAGGGAUUGCCUUAGUAGCGGCGAGUGAAGCGGCAAAAGCUCAAAUUUGAAAUCUGGCUCUUUCAGAAUCCGAGUUGUAAUUUGAAGAAGGUAUCUUUGGGUCUGGCUCUUGUCUAUGUUUCUUGGAACAGAACGUCACAGAGGGUGAGAAUCCCGUGCGAUGAGAUGAUCCAGGCCUAUGUAAAGUUCCUUCGAAGAGUCGAGUUGUUUGGGAAUGCAGCUCUAAGUGGGUGGUAAAUUCCAUCUAAAGCUAAAUAUUGGCGAGAGACCGAUAGCGAACAAGUACAGUGAUGGAAAGAUGAAAAGAACUUUGAAAAGAGAGUGAAAAAGUACGUGAAAUUGUUGAAAGGGAAGGGCUUGAGAUCAGACUUGGUAUUUUGUAUGUUACUUCUUCGGGGGUGGCCUCUACAGUUUAUCGGGCCAGCAUCAGUUUGGGCGGUAGGAGAAUUGCGUUGGAAUGUGGCACGGCUUCGGUUGUGUGUUAUAGCCUUCGUCGAGACUGCCAGCCUAGACUGAGGACUGCGGUUUAUACCUAGGAUGUUGGCAUAAUGAUCUUAAGUCGC